CCUUUCCCUACCAGUUAAAUAUCAGCCCUGUGCCAUGGACUGAGGAGAUAUGAAGAAGGAAAUCAACACAAGAUUGUGUUGGCACAAGAGAAAGCUGCUCUGAAUGGUGAGAACAGGAGUCAGCCCACCUAUCCUAAGUCAAAGGAACCCACCAGUUCCAAGGAGGAGGCACAGAUGAAAAGAAGAAAGGAAAGAAGUGAAAGAAGAAGAACAAGUGAGAGGUGGGAGGAGAAGGACAAGGAUGGUGGAGCUGAAGCAGUACCUGGCACCGUGGCCAUCCUUCCAAGUUUGUCUUGGCUCCUGACUUCAACCAGUGGUUUUUGAUACCUUUCUCACGUCAUUUCCCAGGGUAGCACAAGCUGCCUUGUGAAUUACCAGAGUGAAGAAAUGGCCCCAAGGGACAUCAUCUUGAAGCCACGUGAGGAAAGACACAGCCACAUGAUUCUCUACUGAAAACAACCAACUUCCAAGAAAUUCAGAUUGCUUUGAGGAAAGAGUGGUAUUAGAAAGGACAACCCAGCUUCUCGCCUGUGCAUCAGAGGGAAGAGAAGUACAGGGCCUCUGGCCACUGCCCCUUGGGACCUAUUUUGUGACAGAGCCAGAAAAGAUGGUUUUUAGGGUAGGAAUUCAUACUGAUUUUCCUUACAUAGCGCAUUUGUGUUGCUAUUCCUUUUUCUAAUCAGCCAGGGUCUCCUAAGAAAAACAGAGUGAAUGUUCCUAGAAAGUGUCAAGGGAGUGAAGUAGAGGACCCUGGAGACACUCCCUCCUCAGGACAGGAUGACAUAGCUUUGCCCUCGGUGAGGAGAGCAGGGGGCUCACAGCUUCCUCAGUGGCACUGCUUGGCCGCCUGGUUCGGUCCUAGAGCUGCAUUUCUUUCUAUCAGGAUUAACACUUUGUCUCCAGUUUGCUUUCUUACUCCUCUAAGUUCUUUCUUUGACUCCAAGCAGCCUCAAUGCACCCCGGUAGGAUGCUACUCGCCCGGUUUGCUGAGGACUGAGAGGGUUUCCAGCAUACAGGAUUUUCAGUUUUCAAACCACGACAGUCUCAGGCCAACCGGAAUGAGAUCAUCCCCGAUCACCAGUGAGUUAACAGCAGAACAGCUCAAUCACUGCUGCACAGAGCAGGAAAGAGACACCCUGCACUCUGCUCAGUAGAAUACUAGAGGAUAGAAUAAAAAUAUGUUUGGGAUUUACAUGUCAGGCAAUCAUUCACGUGACUGUAAGAGUCAUGCUGCAGAGCAGACAAAUUCUCCAGUGCGUACAGCCAAGAUAAUUACAUGCAAAUCUGGAAGAGCCUGAGCUGUUUCACCUUGUAAACCCACAGCUGUGAACAAUUUUCUCAUUCACAAAGCCCUGGUCUUCCGGCAGCAAAGCCUGGUUUUCCUUCCCUAACUCAGAGGGCCCUAUGGAAGGCAGGUCUGAAAGCCCAUGGAGAUAGCAGAUUCUCCAGGAGGGAGAGGAGUAGAGAGUAAAACCCUCUGAAAUUGGGCCUCACGUUAGCGGUCAACCGUUUAAGUGAAGGUAUAUUCACAGGGACCCUCAUGAAUAUGGGUUUUACAAACUACUCUACAUUCAGAGCCCUGGCCUGCCCAAGGACUGAGUGUGUUGAUUAACUCUGGGAAACUCCUGAGAGGGCCGGAGGACAGCCCCAGGGGCCUGGCAUGGAGCAUGGGAGGCUCAAGUUGGAACAGGCUCA
Equus caballus (horse) is the source of this 1695-nucleotide long non-coding RNA. NCBI's taxonomy places the organism in Eukaryota, Metazoa, Chordata, Mammalia, Perissodactyla, Equidae. The record is from Ensembl.